UUGUUCUGUGAAUUAAAGAUGUUAGAUAAUCAAAAGCGUUUAUCUGGAUUUGAAUAUCGUAAGAGAAGAUUGGAGAAAGAAGAGUCAGUAAAAAAAUGUACAACACUAUUAGAAAGUUUUUAACACAAAAGGCUCCAACACAAGAACAAGAGAAUUUAUCGACAGAAGAACGUUCAUCUGAGAUCACUCAAGAAGCAAUUUCUAAUACUGAAAAUGUUCUCUCUCUUGAUAAAAUUAACAAUCAAGACUCAACAAUUGACCAAUCAAUUAAAAGUACAUCAGCAGGUUCAUCAUCAGCAGAUCAUUAAGAAGCUUAAGAGAGAGAUUCUACGCAUAUUCAGCCUACCAGUCGAUAAAGAAUAACACACUAUAA
Nylanderia fulva is the source of this 373-nucleotide non-coding RNA. Lineage: Eukaryota; Metazoa; Arthropoda; Insecta; Hymenoptera; Formicidae. The record is from RefSeq and is a predicted model, not a curated record.